UACAGAGGUGGCAAGCGUUGUUCGGAAUUACUGGGCGUAAAGGGCGCGUAGGCGGCCUACUAAGUCAGACGUGAAAUCCCCCGGCUUAACCUGGGAACUGCGUCUGAUACUGGAAGGCUUGAGGAUGGGAGAGGGAUGUAGAAUUCCAGGUGUAGCGGUGAAAUGCGUAGAUAUCUGGAGGAAUACCGGUGGCGAAGGCGGCUCUCUGGACCAGCACUGACACUGAGGCACGAAAGCGUGGGGAGCAGACAGG
RNAcentral lists this ribosomal RNA (253 nucleotides) under uncultured bacterium. Its description in RNAcentral is "partial 16S ribosomal RNA". It matches the Rfam family "Bacterial small subunit ribosomal RNA", at positions 524 to 776 of the family's 1533-position model. The record is from RNAcentral.